RNAcentral lists this ribosomal RNA (199 nucleotides) under uncultured Shewanella sp. RNAcentral describes it as "partial 16S ribosomal RNA". It matches the Rfam family "Bacterial small subunit ribosomal RNA", at positions 335 to 526 of the family's 1533-position model. The record is from RNAcentral. Lineage: Bacteria; Pseudomonadati; Pseudomonadota; Gammaproteobacteria; Alteromonadales; Shewanellaceae.
ACUCCUACGGGAGGCAGCAGUGGGGAAUAUUGCACAAUGGGGGAAACCCUGAUGCAGCCAUGCCGCGUGUGUGAAGAAGGCCUUCGGGUUGUAAAUCGCUUUCAGUAGGGAGGAAAGGUAAUAACUUAAUACCAUGUAGCUGUGACGUUACCUCGGGAAGAAGGACCGGCUAACUCCGUGCCAGCAGCCGCGGUAAUAC